GAUGAAGAACGUAGCGAAAUGCGAUACUUGGUGUGAAUUGCAGAAUCCCGUGAACCAUCGAGUCUUUGAACGCAAGUUGCGCCCGAAGCCAUUAGGCCGAGGGCACGCCUGCCUGGGCGUCACACGUCGUUGCCCCCCCAUCUACUCCUUCGGGAUUGCGGGGGGCGGAUGAUGGCCUCCCGUGCGCCUCGUCGCGCGGUUGGCAUAAAUGCCAAGUCCUCGGCGACGCACGCCACGACAAUCGGUGGUUGCGAAACCUCGGUUGCCCGUCGUGUGCGGUCGUCGCGCAUCGAGGGCUCGAAAAAAUUGCCGGGCUCCGGCUCGGCUUUCAACGCGACCCCAGGUCAGGCGGGGUUACCCGCUGAAUUUGAGCAUAUCAAUAAGCGGAGGA
Molecule: unclassified non-coding RNA, 391 nt
Filed under: soil metagenome
Description: partial contains 5.8S ribosomal RNA, internal transcribed spacer 2, and large subunit ribosomal RNA
Rfam family: 5.8S ribosomal RNA (bases 1-122)
Source: RNAcentral